GACGAACGCUGGCGGCGUGCCUAAUACAUGCAAGUAGAACGCUGAAGAGAGGAGCUUGCUCUUCUUGGAUGAGUUGCGAACGGGUGAGUAACGCGUAGGUAACCUGCCUGGUAGCGGGGGAUAACUAUUGGAAACGAUAGCUAAUACCGCAUAAAAUUGAUUAUUGCAUGAUAAUUAAUUGAAAGAUGCAACUGCAUCACUACCAGAUGGACCUGCGUUGUAUUAGCUAGUUGGUGAGGUAACGGCUCACCAAGGCGACGAUACAUGGCCGACCUGAGAGGGAGAUCGGCCACACUGGGACUGUGACACGGCCCAGACUUCUACGGGAGGCAGCAGUAGGGAAACUUCGGCAAUGGGGGGAACCCUGACCGAGCAACGCCGCGUGAGUGAAGAAGGUUUUCGGAUCGUAAAGCUCUGUUGUAAGAGAAGAACGGGUGUGAGAGUGGAAAGUUCACACUGUGACGGUAGCUUACCAGAAAGGGACGGCUAACUACGUG
RNAcentral lists this ribosomal RNA (497 nucleotides) under uncultured bacterium. RNAcentral's name for it is "partial 16S ribosomal RNA". It matches the Rfam family "Bacterial small subunit ribosomal RNA", at positions 28 to 507 of the family's 1533-position model. The record is from RNAcentral.